GAGUGUAAAUAUAUUGUCUGAUACACACUCCGGAGCAGAAGGUGGCGGUAAUUCACCAAUAAGUUUUCCACACCCGCUGUAAAAGAAGAAGAAGACGGUAUAUCCAAUCACAGGCGCAUAUUGCUGUGACGUGCUCUUGGAUGAAGGGCGUUGUGAUUUCAAAUUCUCCGUGGGAAAAUCUGGGUUUGACGGCGUUCAAGAGCAGAGUUCUCUACAUUUGGCCCAACAGCUCAAAUAGAAACUCGAGCGCAAGAUCAGAAGGAAGCUCCCACACAGGGCCUUAUGACUGUUGCCCCAGUGAAGAACCCGAGGUCCAGCCUUCCCCACUCAAGACAUGCCUGAGACAAGAGUGACUGUAUUCCAAGGUGAUCCUAACUUAAAUGUAGUUCACCGCUUGAAAAAGACAAAAAUACUCAACACUAUUAACGUUGAAAUCAUUGGUCUAUGGUUAUUACUGUCUUGAAACUACCCUUCACCCUUUGUUUUUGUAUCUAGUUUUGUAUGUUUGUCUCAUCUUCUGUACCAUAAUUAUGCUUGCACAUAUUGCCUACCUAGAAAUGUAACUUGAACCCGAUCUCAGUGGUAUUCUAUACAAUGACAAUAAAGGCUUUCUAUUGUA
Long non-coding RNA from Anguilla rostrata (American eel), 619 nucleotides. RefSeq lists it as uncharacterized. The transcript is spliced from 3 exons. NCBI's taxonomy places the organism in Eukaryota, Metazoa, Chordata, Actinopteri, Anguilliformes, Anguillidae. The record is from RefSeq and is a predicted model, not a curated record.